CUAGGUAGGGGUGCACUCACCAUAGGGCAGCUCUUGGUCUGGAAGGUAUAAAAGGGAAGGGAAGAAGGGCACUAUUGCUUCUGUUCCUUUCAGGAUCAGAGUGCUGACCUUGGAGGUCAUCUCCUGCCUUGUACAUCCGCUUUGGCUUCCAGUGAGCACCGUUCUGAAUUCCGUGUAGACUCUUCAGUCCCCACCACAGACAGAUCACCCUCUGGAUUCGCGCUACGCUCACAGGGGACACAGCAGUGACAUUCAGAUCUUCGACUAAAUCCUCAGGUCUCCAGUGUGAAGACAGCCUCUGCACUCUUCCCCAUCUGUCUCGAGGUGGCCAUUGUGGUGACAAAAACUCAGCCGGAUGGAGCACAAGGGCACCAAAAAGAUACAAAGAUACUUCUGUGUCAGAUCUCAAGAUCUGUGCCUAAACUGUUCCAAUGAAGUAAACAGCUCUGAGUUGGAUGAGGACCACACUGCUCAGCUCCAAGGCCAUCGAAGACAGGAAGAAUUUGCCCCAAAAAUGUCCCAAGGGAGGACUUGAGGCAAACUUGGAGCAGAGGCAGGAAUACUGCACUACUGGAGCCGUGUGGGCCUCAACAAGGAUCAUUGCCUCGAGAGCACACAGGAUGUGAACACUGUGUCAACCCUGGACAGAGCACCAAUGGCAUGGGCCCCAGAGAUGCUCCACAGCCACUCAGGAAACGCCAAACGGAUUCCUGGGACAGACCUGCCCAAGGCAUGCACACAGCUCUGGACUUACUUGAAGUCAGGGACUCCAGGACCCAGGACCAUGUUCUGCCCUCCUUGGAAGAGACUCCAGCCAUGGGAAAAGGGGAGUGCAGAGCUCCUGCUGAGGCACAGAGUCCAGUGCGGGAAGGACAAGUCCAGGCCCUCCCGCCCCUAGGCUGGGAUCACCCUCCUCUGUGGGACCUGGCGGUGGACAGCCAGGGGGAUUAUGGGAAGAGGAAGAAGAACUGGUGGAAGACCUUCCAGUGUUACAAGCUGCACUGGAAGAGAAGAUGUAGCAGGCACAUUUUGUGUGGGUAGUGAGCCAGUGUCACGCUGAGUAAGGGGAGAGCCCUGUGCUGCUCCGUGGGUCCUUAGCUGAGCAUUGGCCAGCACACCCUGGUGUGGCAUAGGCCUUGUUUACCUCCAGCUCCUGUUCUUACUGUGGGGGCCUGAGCUGUGCUGCUUGUGAAAGUGUUGUAACCGUACUGUUUCCUUGGGAGGUCAUUGGGGACAGGAGAAUCCACAUCAGAGUGAGCUGUUCUACCCCUGUUCACAGAAAGUAGAGAAACUGUGAGCCUUACUUUCCAACAGUCACAGCCGUGGAGAGGAUCUGGGACAGAUGGAAUGAGAACACGGUUAAGUCCCCUCUCCUAGACCCAAGGAAAUAAGGUCACGGAGUAUGCGCUCCAUUGAAAAUCGCUUCCUUGCUUUUGAGAGCCAAACAUUGUCCCCAUUACAGAGAACAAAAGUUCCCCUUCAAUGGCCCUUCGUUAUUCAGGGAAAUUCACCCAGGAAAUUGAUAACUAACCACUUGUUGGACACUGGUGAGAUUGACAGGCUUUCAGGAGGACAGGAAGUGACCAGGAAACAAAUGGCUCAUCUGAGCACAAUAGCAAAAUGCCUGGACCUUCACAUUUUAUACACUGUGACUGUUUUUGCAAUCUCCUUUGUGACUGGGCAGCCUGGACAUAAUCAUUGUGAGAAAUUCU
Molecule: long non-coding RNA, 1712 nt
Organism: Fukomys damarensis (Damara mole-rat)
Lineage: Eukaryota; Metazoa; Chordata; Mammalia; Rodentia; Bathyergidae
Exons: 3
Source: RefSeq, a predicted model, not a curated record